RNAcentral lists this long non-coding RNA (734 nucleotides) under Rhinopithecus bieti (black snub-nosed monkey). RNAcentral describes it as "lncRNA (ENSRBIG00000046721.1)". Lineage: Eukaryota; Metazoa; Chordata; Mammalia; Primates; Cercopithecidae. The record is from RNAcentral.
CUCUUUUAACCUUCCCUUUCUCCGUGUAGGUUUCCCAUUGAGUGUUUUCAAUGGGAAAUGUCUAACUGCUCUGUGGGUGUACACCACGGCCGGUUGCUAAUUUUGGAACACUUGUGAAUCCUGGGCCCAGAGUCAUGACCAAUACUGGUGAGUCAUACUCCCCAUACAGAGCUCCCUACACAUUGGCUGUCAGAAAAAAAAAAAAAAAAAAAGCAAAACAGAAGUUGCCAUCUCGUCCUCUGCUCUAGCUGUCUCAUUUUACCUUCUGAAAUGAUGGAGGAAGUUCUGCUGAGGAUGGGGUCAGGGUAACAGCAGACUUCUGAAUAACCCUGCACCCCCAGAAACCUGCAAAGGACACAAGCCCUCUUGGUGGUCUCCUCCUGGAUGCCUUGCUUUCUCCUGGAAGAGCCCUCCCUUCCACUCCGGAUAUCACUGUGAACCUGAUUCCCCAGGAUCAACUAUCUGAGCAGAUACCUUAGAAUGUCCCCAGAUUUCAGAGAAUUCCAAAGAAGAUAGAAAUGGGGUUAGGAAGGGAAGUUCUGCCCUCCUGGUUCUUGUCAUCCUUCUCUACUUCAAGGCAUACUGCACAUCACAGUCAUGACUUCUACACUCAGGAAGCCAGUGCCCCAAAAGGCAGAAAGACAGAUCUGUUUCUCGUCACAGAAAUAAAGAAAGGUAAAUGCUGGAGAUUGCCCUGGAGAUUUAAGGAGUGAUGGCAAAAUGGCAAAAAGCAA